AUGAACGCUGGCGGCGUGCCUAAUACAUGCAAGUCGAGCGAACAGACGAGGAGCUUGCUCCUCUGACGUUAGCGGCGGACGGGUGAGUAACACGUGGAUAACCUACCUAUAAGACUGGGAUAACUUCGGGAAACCGGAGCUAAUACCGGAUAAUAUAUUGAACCGCAUGGUUCAAUAGUGAAAGACGGUUUUGCUGUCACUUAUAGAUGGAUCCGCGCCGCAUUAGCUAGUUGGUAAGGUAACGGCUUACCAAGGCAACGAUGCGUAGCCGACCUGAGAGGGUGAUCGGCCACACGGGAACUGAGACACGGUCCAGACUCCGACGGGAGGCAGCAGUAGGGAAUCUUCCGCAAUGGGCGAAAGCCUGACGGAGCAACGCCGCGUGAGUGAUGAAGGUCUUCGGAUCGUAAAACUCUGUUAUUAGGGAAGAACAAAUGUGUAAGUAACUAUGCACGUCUUGACGGUACCUAAUCAGAAAGCCACGGCUAACUACGUG
RNAcentral lists this ribosomal RNA (496 nucleotides) under uncultured bacterium. Its description in RNAcentral is "partial 16S ribosomal RNA". It matches the Rfam family "Bacterial small subunit ribosomal RNA", at positions 29 to 507 of the family's 1533-position model. The record is from RNAcentral.